UAUAGCAGCAAGGGCGCCAUUUUUAUAACAAGCAUACAAUAACGCGGUGAAAGUUAAACAAGUGACGUCAAAAUCCCACAAUCGUGACAAAGGAGUUAAAUACAAACGCAAUGACAAGUGCUUUCUAUUGUUUCCAGCACUCUCGCUCUCAGCCUGUCAUCUAUUUAUUCACUCCUCAGGAGUACUUCAGGAGAGAAGUGAAGUCAAAAUGACAGCGAGGAUUUUCAGAUCUUAACUCCAAGCAACCACUAAGAAGCAAAUAAACUCAUUAUCGUAUGGUUUUUCUCUUCCGACCGGCACUUAUUCACAAGUUGGUGAAAGUGAGAUUGUUUUUACUGGCGCUGACGAUUUUCUCUUUGAUUUCGAGCAAGCAGACGAUAGACAGUCAUGGUCAAUCGUCGUCAUGGUAUUGAACUCAAUAUUACAUUUGCAAUCUCUACCAUGGCUCACGAGUUGCAGUUCAGUGGUCUUUGGAAAGUGUAAUCAUCAAUAACAUAGCACAUUUUAGUUUGGACCAAACUCCUCCGAAAUAACUCAGUGGAUUCUUUAAGCAUAAUACUAACCAUCGAUUCUUCAUGGAAAAUUAUGUAUCUCUUUAUACAUAGACAUUGUCUGCCAGUUUUGAUUGAAUCAUGAUAAUCUUGAAAGACCAUGCAGUGACCCUCACAAGUGCAUGAAGACACGAUCGAUCAUUAAUCUUACAGGGCAUGUUAUGGGGUGCCUAGUUG
RNAcentral lists this unclassified non-coding RNA (728 nucleotides) under Lytechinus variegatus (green sea urchin). Its description in RNAcentral is "kH domain-containing protein akap-1-like, transcript variant X4". The record is from RNAcentral. Lineage: Eukaryota; Metazoa; Echinodermata; Echinoidea; Temnopleuroida; Toxopneustidae.